UAUUACCUGCCGUGUCCGUAAGCUUUUUAUGCUUUGAACCUUGAAUGUUAAAAGGGAGUUUUACAUGAGUAGAGCAACGCUAAGCUAGCUUGUACUGGACAGCGAAACUCUAACUGCGAACACCCACCUACCAAAGUAGGUUCGUAAAGCAUUCAUUUGCAACGGCACAAGCGGGUAUGAC
Molecule: non-coding RNA, 181 nt
Filed under: Alkalihalobacillus sp. LMS6
Lineage: Bacteria; Bacillati; Bacillota; Bacilli; Caryophanales; Bacillaceae
Also listed under: 1 other name
Description: 6S RNA
Rfam family: 6S / SsrS RNA
About the family: E. coli 6S RNA was the first non coding RNA to be sequenced, but its function was unknown until recently. It consists of 184 nucleotides that fold into an extended hairpin structure with a large single-stranded internal bulge.
Source: RNAcentral